RNAcentral lists this ribosomal RNA (257 nucleotides) under uncultured archaeon. RNAcentral describes it as "partial 16S ribosomal RNA". It matches the Rfam family "Archaeal small subunit ribosomal RNA", at positions 748 to 1005 of the family's 1478-position model. The record is from RNAcentral.
AGGGUGUAAACGCUGCAGACUUGGUGUUGGAGGCCCUUUGGGGGCAUUCAGUGCCGGAGAGAAGUUGUUAAGUCUGCUACUUGGGAGUACGUCCGCAAGGAUGAAACUUAAAGGAAUUGGCGGGGGAGCACCGCAACGGGAGGAGCGUGCGGUUUAAUUGGAUUCAACACCGUAAAACUCACCAGGGAAGACUGUUACAUGAAGGCCGAGAUGAAGACUCUGCUAGAUUUUCAGAGAGGUGGUGCAUGGCGUCAGUG